Molecule: long non-coding RNA, 763 nt
Filed under: Homo sapiens (human)
Lineage: Eukaryota; Metazoa; Chordata; Mammalia; Primates; Hominidae
Source: RNAcentral
CUUUUCGAGGUAGGAGUCGACUCCUGUGAGGUAUGGUGCUGGGUGCAGAUGCAGUGUGGCUCUGGAUAGCACCUUAUGGACAGUUGUGUCCCCAAGGAAGGAUGAGAAUAGCUACUGAAGUCCUAAAGAGCAAGCCUAACUCAAGCCAUUGGCACACAGGCAUUAGACAGAAAGCUGGAAGUUGAAAUGGUGGAGUCCAACUUGCCUGGACCAGCUUAAUGGUUCUGCUCCUGGUAACGUUUUUAUCCAUGGAUGACUUGCUUGGGUAUGGAGAGUCGGCUUGACUACACUGUGUGGAGCAAGUUUUAAAGAAGCAAAGGACUCAGAAUUCAUGAUUGAAGAAAUGCAGGUUAGUUUAAACUUUGAAGGAAAUUUUUAAGGUGGCAAAAGGUUUUGGUGGCAUAUACACCUUAAUCUGUAGAUGGGAGUGAUUAGCUGUUUAAAAGUUAAAAUGUGACUGAGAAGGAAAUUGAGUAGGGCAAAUUUUAAAUGGGUAUUAUUUUUCAUCUUCAAACAGGCAGACCUGUUAUCCUAAACUAGGGUUUUUAAUGACCACAACAAGCAAGCAUGCAGCUUACUGCUUGAAAGGGUCUUGCCUCACCCAAGCUAGAGUGCAGUGGCCUUUGAAGCUUACUACAGCCUCAAACUUCUGGGCUCAAGUGAUCCUCAGCCUCCCAGUGGUCUUUGUAGACUGCCUGAUGGAGUCUCAUGGCACAAGAAGAUUAAAACAGUGUCUCCAAUUUUAAUAAAUUUUUGCAAUCCA